RNAcentral lists this ribosomal RNA (460 nucleotides) under uncultured bacterium. Its description in RNAcentral is "partial 16S ribosomal RNA". It matches the Rfam family "Bacterial small subunit ribosomal RNA", at positions 338 to 795 of the family's 1533-position model. The record is from RNAcentral.
CCUACGGGUGGCAGCAGUGAGGAAUAUUGGUCAAUGGGCGCGAGCCUGAACCAGCCAAGUAGCGUGAAGGAUGACUGCCCUACGGGUUGUAAACUUCUUUUAUCAAGGAAUAAAGUGAGGCACGGGUGCCUUUUUGUGUGUACUUUAUGAAUAAGGAUCGGCUAACUCCGUGCCAGCAGCCGCGGUAAUACGGAGGAUCCGAGCGUUAUCCGGAUUUAUUGGGUUUAAAGGGAGCGUAGAUGGGUUGUUAAGUCAGUGGUGAAAGUUUGCGGCUCAACCGUCAAAUUGCAAUUGAAACUGGCAGCCUUGAGUACAGUUGAGGUAGGCGGAAUUCGUGGUGUAGCGGUGAAAUGCUUAGAUAUCACGAAGAACUCCGAUUGCGAAGGCAGCUUACUAAACUGCAACUGACAUUGAUGCUCGAAAGUGUGGGUAUCAAACAGGAUUAGAUACCCGUGUAGUC